RNAcentral lists this ribosomal RNA (492 nucleotides) under uncultured bacterium. RNAcentral's name for it is "partial 16S ribosomal RNA". It matches the Rfam family "Bacterial small subunit ribosomal RNA", at positions 29 to 507 of the family's 1533-position model. The record is from RNAcentral.
AGUGAACGCUGGCGGUAGGCCUAACACAUGCAAGUCGAACGGCAGCACAGUAAGAGCUUGCUCUUACGGGUGGCGAGUGGCGGACGGGUGAGGAAUACAUCGGAAUCUACUUUUUCGUGGGGGAUAACGUAGGGAAACUUACGCUAAUACCGCAUACGACCUACGGGUGAAAGCAGGGGAUCUUCGGACCUUGCGCGAUUGAAUGAGCCGAUGUCGGAUUAGCUAGUUGGCGGGGUAAAGGCCCACCAAGGCGACGAUCCGUAGCUGGUCUGAGAGAAUGAUCAGCCACACUGGAACUGAGACACGGUCCAGACUCCUAGGGGACGCAGCAGUGGGGAAUAUUGGACAAUGGGCGCAAGCCUGAUCAAGCCAUACCGCGUGGGUGAAGAAGGCCUUCGGGUUGUCAAGCCCUUUUGUUGGGAAAGAAAAGCAGCAGGUUAAUACCCCGCUGUUCUGACGGUACCCAAAGAAUAAGCACCGGCUAACUUCGUG